ACUGGGACCUAUUGACCGCUAGGGGCGCGCCUGCCUCCUCUGGGCUUUUCUGAUCUGUCUGAAAGUCGCUCAGUCGUGUCGGACUCUUUGCGACCCCGUGGACUAUAUACAGUCCGUGGAAUUCUCCAGGCUAGAAUACUGGAGUGGAUAGCCUUUCCCUUCUCCAGGGGAUCUUCCCAAUCCAGGGAUCGAACCCAGGUGUUCCGGAUCGCAAGCGGAUUCUUAACCAGCUGAGCCACAAGGGACCCAUGGCCAUUAGCAUCAAUUCCACGAACAAUUUUUAAAGCCUGGAUUGAGGACAGUAUCGCUGUAGCGGGCUCUGGUUACUGGAUCUAGUGCCCGAAUCCUCCCUGAAGACUGGCGUGGCCUUGAGUCAUCGUCUGACAAGAUCUGCUAAUGGGGUCAUUGCAGACAGCCACAAACCCCCAACGUCUGAGCGGGCUGGGGCUGCUGCCAAGGGGUUUCGCCUGCCUCCACCUCCCGCCUUCUCCGGUUCCCCAUCCAAGCUGAUGCUUGUAAAGGAAACAUCUUUUCAGGCGAGGGGACUGUGUGUUUGGUUUGUCUUUGUUGCCUGGAAACUGUUGACAUCCCGAGACAUUCUGUUGCCUGCGCUGGCUCAUGAAAAAUUGAUGACUUUUUUUCUCUGUCAACAAACUCGCAGCCUGUUCACCUUGACUGGGAAGGGGCGGGAAGCUUGCUCCCUGCUCCGCUCCGCAGCUGUUUGCUUUCUUUCGAGCUGUUGAGUUUGCUUUCCUUAGAGGUGGGGGUGGGGCCAGAGACAGUGGGGCCAGCUGAGUGUGGCCGUGUGUAGGCGACUGCUGCUAAGGUGGAGAGGGCUGGCCUUGCUUCCCUCGAGUGCUCCUUCAGUUCCACCAAGUGCCUUUCCCAGCUGAUCUGAAGCACCUUUCCCUUCCGAGGCAUCCCCUGGGCAUCCCCUGCCCAGAGGCCUUCCCUGGCCUCGCCAGCCCUGGAUCCUCCUUGCCCUCUGGGGUCAGCCUGCCAGGCACGACUACUGUCCGUUUCCAUUCCUCUCGGUCUGGUUUCUCCUCUUGGCAGCAGAAUAGCCUUGCUGCCCAUCUCCCCAGACCAGCAGCACGUUAGGUUUAGGAGGGAUCUCAGAGAGCAUUUGUGGAAGAGGAAGCUCAGAGUGGCAGGGUGAUGUGACCAUCUAGUUAGCUUUUGGCCUCGUGUACAGCAUUCACUGGUGGUCUCCCCCACCAGGGAACGAACCUGUGCCCCCAGCACUGGAAGUGUUUUUCCUGUGCGUGUGUGCUCAGCCAUGUCUGACUCCUUGUGACCCGAGGAGUCUUAACCACUGGACCACCAUGGAAGUCCCAAAGACUUUGCACAGACUCUGCACAUUUCAUAGUAUAUAAGGCAUCCCACUACUGGAAGGCCCUGCAACAAGGCAGUUACGAACCUUGAACCUGGAGCCAGGCUGUUUGAGUUGGGAUGCUGCUUUCAUGUCUUGCCAGCUGUGUGACUUUGGACAACUUGCUUGACUGCUCUGAGC
Bos taurus (domestic cattle) is the source of this 1513-nucleotide long non-coding RNA. The record is from Ensembl. Lineage: Eukaryota; Metazoa; Chordata; Mammalia; Artiodactyla; Bovidae.